AUACGUAGGUGGCAAGCGUUGUCCGGAUUUACUGGGUGUAAAGGGCGUGUAGGCGGAGAUGCAAGUCAGGAGUGAAAUCUAGGGGCUCAACCCCUAAACUGCUUUUGAAACUGUAUCCCUUGAGUAUCGGAGAGGCAGGCGGAAUUCCUAGUGUAGAGGUGAAAUGCGUAGAUAUUAGGAGGAACACCAGUGGCGAAGGCGGCCUUCUGGACGACAACUGAAGCUGAGGCGCGAAAGCGUGGGGAGCAAACAGGAUUAGAUGCCCUUGUAGUCCACGCUGUAAACGAUGAAUACUAGGUGUGGGGGGACUGACCCCCUCCGUGCCGCAGGUAACAGAAUAAGUAUUCCACCUGGGGAGUACGAUCGCAAGAUUGAAACUAAAAGGAAUUGACGGGGG
RNAcentral lists this ribosomal RNA (397 nucleotides) under uncultured bacterium. RNAcentral describes it as "partial 16S ribosomal RNA". It matches the Rfam family "Bacterial small subunit ribosomal RNA", at positions 523 to 919 of the family's 1533-position model. The record is from RNAcentral.